GCCACCACCACGGAAUCAAGCCUCACCACCACCGUACCCCAGCCACCACCACUGAAUCGAACUAAUGGAGCAGCUUUACUGAUGGAACACAGGGGUUAUUGAAAUCUGAGGUACAUUUCAUCAACCACCGUGCAACCACCACCACAUAACCGAUCCAAGCAAAAACAACUUCUCAGCAAAGGAAACUCACCAGCGAAGGAAAAAGGGAGAGAUCAUUAAACAACAAUCAUUGAAGUCACCAGCAAAGGAAACUCACCAGCGAAGGAAACAACCGCGGCGGAGCAAUCAUUGAAGUCACAACCACGGCGGAGCAAUCAUUGAACAGAUCCAACGGUCUGUUAACCACCCCUAAAAACCAUCUCCUCUGAGAUGGCCUAAUCGCCGGCUUAAACCUUCAACACAAGGAGAGAGGAGGAAACUCACCGGAACAGGGCUGUUGGUCAGAACACGACUGUGAAUCCGCCGGUGCACCAUCUGGAACAACGUUGUUGGUCAGAACACCACCGGAACAGGAAACUCGUACACCAUCUGAACCAUGGAAAAAUCGAAUUUUAGGAUUGUUCUUCUAGGGUUCUUAAAUGGUGGUGAUGGGGUUUGGUGGUGAUGGCCUGGUUGUUUAGAGAGGGCUUAUAGUGUUUAGAUCAGGUUGUUGUUUUAGGUUAAUGCUAAAGGACGAAAGGUGUAAUGAGUUUUUCAAAUAAAGGACUGUGACUGUAGUUAUUGAAGUUAAAGGCUAUCCAUUGCAAUUCGAUACAAACAUAAAGGACGAAAAGUGUAAUUUAAAGCAACCAGAUUGCCGCCAAAAGAAACAAGUUGACCACCUUCCUUUUCUUUUACCUAUGAUCGCUGAUUGAUCGGAAGUCGAUAUAAUUUCCGCAUUUCCUUUUCGGUUCCAAUCACGAUCAAAGACGAAAUCAUGUCCCGGUUCUUCGAUAAUUAUUAUUCUUACCAUUUCGAUUCGGAAAGUUAACAAAAUUCGAUUCUAUGAUUUGUGUAUAUAUAGCAUCGAUCCACCUCGUCAUCUCUCACACCCAAGCCUUUUCGACACACUCUCACAACCUCCUUCGUAUAAACCCGCGAAUCGCCGGAACACAUUCCUAGUUCACGCCACCGGUUCGAUACUCUAGCCCUAUCACCCUCUUCCAUUGUGUGUUCACCGAGCAUGUCACCGGAGUUCGAAGACGAGGAACAACCGGGAACUCACCAGAGACACUACGGCCAUCCAACGCAUUUCGUUUCGGUAUAUAUCUCCUUAUUCCGUAUGGUUUCUGUUGUUAUAUUUUUGUUUCAUUCAAUUGAUCUUUUGUGAUAUCCACUUGGUAUUGUUCAUGUAAUUUCCAUGUUAGUUCACUAAGGGAAAACAACCUCUUGUUU
Molecule: long non-coding RNA, 1374 nt
Filed under: Helianthus annuus (common sunflower)
Lineage: Eukaryota; Viridiplantae; Streptophyta; Magnoliopsida; Asterales; Asteraceae
Description: hypothetical non coding rna
Source: RNAcentral